GGCAACCAUGGCGGGGUUGGAGGUGCGGUAUUGACCUUUUCCAAGACGGGGCCCCUUGCUUGGGAACGCUAGCUGGCUACUUGUAGUGUUCCUUCAGUCGACAUCACGUUCCACUAUACUGAUGUGAUGAGGACGGAAAUGUAGCGCGCAUCCACCCGAAACGGACACAGCAUCACAAUCCUUUCGCAUCUCCCGAAAGACGAGGAUGCAGGCCUAUCACAGCAUCCAGUCCUAUUCUCGUUAGGGAAUUGAUAGGAUGUCUGAUUUAAAGCUGAUUUUAACAUGAUAGGGUUUGAGUCUAUGUGAUGUUGCAUCUCGAGGUUAGAUUAUGUCUUGUCUGCAAUAUGAUUUGCAAUGACUUUUUAACGCUUCUCUCACGUUUAUUGCAGCGUUACUUGUGUUACAUUUUUUCAUCAACUUAUAUAUUAUUAUUCAUGUUACUAUUACUCAACUUUUUACUUGAUGAUAAAACUAUCUUAGUUGUUAGAUAUUUAUAAAAUAAUGUAUUUAUUCAUCUAUCUAUUAACAGAUGUAAUAUAUCUAUUUACCUACUUGUU
Molecule: long non-coding RNA, 557 nt
Filed under: Penaeus japonicus
Lineage: Eukaryota; Metazoa; Arthropoda; Malacostraca; Decapoda; Penaeidae
Description: uncharacterized LOC122267736
Source: RNAcentral